AUGGUAGCUAAACCACUUAUCACCGAGCUUGUUUAUCUUACAGAGAAGAAGAUGGACAUGACACUAGAUGACAUAAUCAAAAUGUCUAAAAACCCUAAAUUUAUAACAAAGCAAACUAGGGUUUCGAACAAGAGCAAAAAAUUUACAAACAGUUUUGCACAAGAUAGAUCUUUUAAGGCGCGCCGGUACAUGGAGUCGAGAUCUUCUCUUAGACAAGGAGUUCUUGCAAAAAGAAGGUCAAAUUUCUAG
Non-coding RNA from Vicia faba (fava bean), 249 nucleotides. The record is from the annotation of a GenBank genome assembly. Lineage: Eukaryota; Viridiplantae; Streptophyta; Magnoliopsida; Fabales; Fabaceae.